GGGAAACGUAGUUCCCGCUUAGCUAGGUUGACAUGGUACAAAGCCACAUUACCACGCUAAGUGUGGCUUUGAUUUUUAGAAACCGCCUCAUGCUAAGUCUAGGGAAUACAGUGGUUGAAUGGGGUGAGCGCUGACCUUUAGCUAUUCUGGAGGAACAUGUCACUUUCACUUAUUUUCUUUCAUGUUUUCCCACCCAGUGCUAUGGACUCUGAUCGCCCAACCAGAGCAAACCCAGAAGGACAACUCUCCAAGCCUUUCAAUCACUCCCACUAACCCGUAUUGUGGACACACUAUUGUGAGGCCUACUAAGGAUGUACUGCUGAUGACCUUUUGAAGAGUGGCUAGUGGUUGGCCCAUGUAGGCUGAGCUCAGCUGGUCCAUCCUUCUUGGACCCACAGACUCCCUGGGGCAUGUUCUUCUCAUGAUGAUGACUGCAACACAAGAGGGCAAGACAUCCUACACAAGCACAUUUCAAGAUUUUGCUCACAUCAUCUCUGCUAAAAUUCCUUUAUCCAAAGCAAGGAACACAACUGGUUCAAAUAAGCACAGGCCUCCAAAUAUCCAGAUCUAAAAAUGGAGUGUUCACCUCAAGCUCCUUAUUUAUCACUGCAAGAGAUUCUGGGGCUGGCAGCUAGUGACAUGAGCUGGAAUCCUCUUCCUGAAAUUGCUGUCUUCUUGGAUGGGCUCUCCACAUCUUCCACCACGAAGUAAAAACAAUUCUUGUGGGUGCCAGUGGACCUGCUCUGCAGACCCAGGCUCCUCUCCCAUGGAGCAUCCCAAGUCUGUCCUUAUGGGAAGAAGCAGGAGCCCUGUCUGGCUGUACCCCAAGCUGCUUUCUCUGGACCAAUGCUGUCAGCGAUAGAGGGAACCCUUCCACCAUCAUGUGAAGAAGCCUGGUCUAGCCUGCUGGAGGAUGAGAGAUCACAUGGAAUGAGGCCACAAUCGUUCCAGCCAAAGCCCCAGUAAUAGAAUUAAGAUCAUCCAAGACCAUGGCAUCCCGCCUGAGAAGUUCAGAUGAGAAGGGCCACCUGAACAACCAACAGAAUCUUAAAAAGUAAAAAAUGAGUGUUGCCACUAUGCAUCUAUUAGAAUGGCAGAAAUCGAAGACACUGACAACAACAAAUGCUGGUGAGGAUGUGGAGCAACAGGAACUCUCACUCACUGAAGAUGGAAAUGCAAAAUAGUGCAGCUACUUUGGAAAACAGCUACUUUGGCUGUUUCUUACAACACUAAAUAUGCUAUUAUUAUAUGAUCCAGAAGUUUUGCUCCUUAGCACUUACCCAAAAAAGUUGAAAACUUAUGUACACACAAAAACCUGCACAUGGAUAUUCACAGCAGUUUUUGAUAUGGUUUGGCUCUGUGUCCCCACAGAAAUCUCAUCUUGUAUUUGUAUAAAUUUAUGGGGUACAAGAGUAAUUUUGUUAGCAUGCAUAGACAUGCAUAGACUGCAUAGCUCCCAUAAUUCCCACAUGUUGUGGGAGGGACCAGGUGGGAGGUGAUUGAAUCAUAGGGGCAGGUCUUUCCUGUCUUGUUCUUGUGAUAGUGAGUGGGUCUCACAAGAUCUGAUGGUUUUAAAUAACAGGAAUUUAUCUGCACAAGCUCUUUUAUUUUGCCUGCUGCCAUCCACAUAAGAUGUGACUUGCUCCUCCUUGCCUUCUGCCAUGAUUGUGAGGCCUCCCCAGCCAUGUGGAACUGUAAAUCCAAUUAAAUCUCUUUCUUUUGUAAA
RNAcentral lists this long non-coding RNA (1726 nucleotides) under Homo sapiens (human). RNAcentral's name for it is "long intergenic non-protein coding RNA 652". Lineage: Eukaryota; Metazoa; Chordata; Mammalia; Primates; Hominidae. The record is from RNAcentral.